CAGCAGCCGCGGUAAUACAGAGGGUGCGAGCGUUAAUCGGAUUUACUGGGCGUAAAGCGUGCGUAGGCGGCUUCUUAAGUCGGAUGUGAAAUCCCUGAGCUUAACUUAGGAAUUGCAUUCGAUACUGGGAAGCUAGAGUAUGGGAGAGGAUGGUAGAAUUCCAGGUGUAGCGGUGAAAUGCGUAGAGAUCUGGAGGAAUACCGAUAACGAAGGCAGCCAUCUGGCCUAAUACUGACGCUGAGGUACGAAAGCAUGGGGAGCAAACAGGAUUAGAUACCCCAGUAGUCCCUGUCUCUUAUAA
RNAcentral lists this ribosomal RNA (301 nucleotides) under uncultured bacterium. RNAcentral's name for it is "partial 16S ribosomal RNA". It matches the Rfam family "Bacterial small subunit ribosomal RNA", at positions 509 to 809 of the family's 1533-position model. The record is from RNAcentral.